UCUUACCAAAUUCAAAUUGAAUACGUCACUAACAUGUAAUUUUAGGUGAACCUGCGGAGGGAUCAUUACCGAGUGAGGGCCUCCGGGCCCGACCUCCCACCCUUUGACAAACGUCCCGUUUGCCUCGGGGGCGACCCGGCUCUCACAGAGGCCGGGUGCACCCGGAGGAACACCCCACCCUGCGUUAUUGCGUCGGAGUCUGAAUGGAAAAUCGAAUGAAAACUUUCAACAACGGAUCUCUUGGUUCUGGCAUCGAUGAAGAACGCAGCGAAAUGCGAUAAGUAAUGUGAAUUGCAGAAUUCAGUGAAUCAUCGAAUCUUUGAACGCACAUUGCGCCCUUUGGCAUUCCGAAGGGCAUGCCCGUUCGAGCGUCAUUUCACCAAUCAAGCCUGGCUUGGUGUUGGGCCCCGGGGGUGACCCGGACCCCAAUGUCCGCCGGCCGGACGACCCGUAUCCCAGCGUUAUGGCACUUUUUCGAGUUCCGCUGGUGGAGACGGGGCGGCCGCGCCGUCAGUACCUCUUCAAAACGAAAGGUUGACCUCGGAUCGGGUAGGGAUACCCGCUGAACUUAAGCAUAUCAAUAAGCGGAGGAAAAGAAACCAACAGGGAUUGCCCUAGUAACGGCGAGUGAAGCGGCAACAGCUCAAAUUUGAAAUCUGGCGCAAGCCCGAAUUGUAAUUUGUAGAGGAUGCUUCGGGGCAGCGGCCGGUCUAAGUUCCUUGGAACAGGACGUCACAGAGGGUGAGAAUCCCGUACGCGACCGGCUGGCACCCCACACGUAGCUCCUUCGACGAGUCGAGUUGUUUGGGAAUGCAGCUCUAAAUGGGAGGUAAAUUCCUUCUAAAGCUAAAUACCGGCCAGAGACCGAUAGCGCACAAGUAGAGUGAUCGAAAGAUGAAAAGCACUUUGGAAAGAGAGUUAAAAAGCAUGUGAAAUUGUUGAAAGGGAAGCGCUUGCAACCAGACUUGACGGCGGCGUUCCUCCGGUCUUCUGACCGGUCCACUCGUCGCCGGCAGGCCAGCAUCGUCUGGGGCCGCCGGAGAAAGGCAUGGGGAAUGUGGCUCCUCCGGGAGUGUUAUAGCCCCACGCACAAUACGGCGCGCCCCGGGCGAGGUCCGCG
RNAcentral lists this ribosomal RNA (1120 nucleotides) under uncultured fungus. Its description in RNAcentral is "eukaryotic LSU rRNA". The stretch from base 536 to 1120 matches the Rfam family "Eukaryotic large subunit ribosomal RNA", at positions 1 to 598 of the family's 3401-position model. Lineage: Eukaryota; Fungi. The record is from RNAcentral.